This 443-nucleotide ribosomal RNA is filed under the name uncultured bacterium. RNAcentral describes it as "partial 16S ribosomal RNA". It matches the Rfam family "Bacterial small subunit ribosomal RNA", at positions 338 to 795 of the family's 1533-position model. The record is from RNAcentral.
CCUACGGGUGGCAGCAGUGGGGAAUAUUGGACAAUGGGGGGAACCCUGAUCCAGCGACGCCGCGUGAGUGAAGAAGUAUUUCGGUAUGUAAAGCUCUAUCAGUAGGGAAGAAAGAAAUGACGGUAGCUGACUAAGAAGCACCGGCUAACUACGUGCCAGCAGCCGCGGUAAUACGGAGGGGGCAAGCGUUAUCCGGAUUUACUGGGUGUAGAGGGAGCGUAGAGGGCGAUGCAAGUCUGAAGUGAAAGGCUGGGGCUCAACCCCCGGACUGCAUUGGAAACUGUAUGGCUGGAGUGCAGGAGAGGUAAGUGGAAUUCCUGGUGGAGCGGUGAAAUGCGUAGAUAUUAGGAGGAACACCAGUGGCGAAGGCAGCUUACUGGACUGUAACUGACGUUGAGGCUCGAAAGCGUGGGGAUCAAACAGGAUUAGAUACCCCGGUAGUC